RNAcentral lists this ribosomal RNA (490 nucleotides) under uncultured bacterium. RNAcentral's name for it is "partial 16S ribosomal RNA". It matches the Rfam family "Bacterial small subunit ribosomal RNA", at positions 29 to 507 of the family's 1533-position model. The record is from RNAcentral.
AGUGAACGCUGGCGGCAGGCCUAACACAUGCAAGUUGAACGGCAGCACAAGAGAGCUUGCUCUCUGGGUGGCGAGUGGCGGACGGGUGAGGAAUGCAUCGGAAUCUGCCCAUUUGUGGGGGAUAACCUCGGGAAACCGGGACUAAUACCGCAUACGACCUACGGGUGAAAGCAGGGGAUCUUCGGACCUUGCGCAGAUGGAUGAGCCGAUGCCGGAUUAGCUAGUUGGAGGGGUAAAGGCCCACCAAGGCGACGAUCCGUAGCUGGUCUGAGAGGAUGAUCAGCCACACUGGGACUGAGACACGGCCCAGACUCCUACGGGAGGCAGCAGUGGGGAAUAUUGGACAAUGGGCGCAAGCCUGAUCCAGCCAUGCCGCGUGUGUGAAGAAGGCCUUCGGGUUGUAAAGCACUUUUGUUGGGAAAGAAAAGCAGCCGGUUAAUACCCGGUUGUCAUGACGGUACCCAAAGAAUAAGCACCGGCUAACUUCGUG